Molecule: ribosomal RNA, 455 nt
Filed under: uncultured bacterium
Lineage: Bacteria
Description: bacterial SSU rRNA
Rfam family: Bacterial small subunit ribosomal RNA
Source: RNAcentral
AACGCGAAGAACCUUACUAACGUGAACACCUUACCUGGGUUUGACAUCAAGGUGGUAGGGAACCGAAAGGGGACCGACCUUCGGGAGCCGUGACAGGUGCUGCAUGGCUGUCCUCAGCUCGUGUCGUGAGAUGUUCGGUUAAGUCCGAAAACGAGCGCAACCCUCGGGUCUAGUUACACGUGUCUAGACCGACUGCCCGGGAGAACCGGGAGGAAGGUGGGGAUGACGUCAAGUCAGCAUGGCCUUUAUAUCCAGGGCGACACACACGCUACAAUGGGCGGUACAAUGGGUCGCGAAGCCGCGAGGUGGAGCCAAUCCUAAAAAGCCGUUCGUAGUUCGGAUUGCAGGCUGCAACCCGCCUGCAUGAAGCCGGAGUUGCUAGUAACCGCGCGUCAGCUAUAGUGCGGUGAAUACGUUCUCGGGUCUUGUACACACCGAGGGUCUUGUACACACCG